This 22-nucleotide microRNA is filed under the name Xenopus laevis (African clawed frog). RNAcentral's name for it is "Xla-Mir-7147-P2_5p (mature (guide))". The record is from RNAcentral. Lineage: Eukaryota; Metazoa; Chordata; Amphibia; Anura; Pipidae.
UGUACCAUGCUGGUAACCAGUG